This 829-nucleotide ribosomal RNA is filed under the name uncultured bacterium. RNAcentral describes it as "bacterial SSU rRNA". It matches the Rfam family "Bacterial small subunit ribosomal RNA", at positions 35 to 894 of the family's 1533-position model. The record is from RNAcentral.
GCUGGCGGCAGGCCUAACACAUGCAAGUCGAACGGAGUUAUAUUGUAGCUUGCUAUGGUAUAACUUAGUGGCAGACGGGUGAGUAAUGUAUAGGAAUCUACCUAGUAGUACGGAAUAAUUGUUGGAAACGGCAACUAAUACCGUAUACGCCCUACGGGGGAAAAAUUUAUUGCUAUUAGAUGAGCCUAUAUUAGAUUAGCUAGUUGGUGGAGUAAUAGCCUACCAAGGCAAUGAUCUAUAGCUGAUCUGAGAGGAUGAUCAGCCACACUGGAACUGAGAUACGGUCCAGACUCCUACGGGAGGCAGCAGUGGGGAAUAUUGGACAAUGGGCGAAAGCCUGAUCCAGCCAUGCCGCAUGAGUGAAGAAGGCCUUUGGGUUGUAAAGCUCUUUUAGUGAGGAAGAUAAUGACGGUACUCACAGAAGAAGUCCUGGCUAACUCCGUGCCAGCAGCCGCGGUAAUACGGAGAGGGCUAGCGUUAUUCGGAAUUAUUGGGCGUAAAGGGCGCGUAGGCGGAUUAGUAAGUUAAAAGUGAAAUCCCAAGGCUCAACCUUGGAAUUGCUUUUAAAACUGCUAAUCUAGAGAUUGAAAGAGGAUAGAGGAAUUCCUAGUGUAGAGGUGAAAUUCGUAAAUAUUAGGAGGAACACCAGUGGCGAAGGCGUCUAUCUGGUUCAAAUCUGACGCUGAGGCGCGAAGGCGUGGGGAGCAAACAGGAUUAGAUACCCUGGUAGUCCACGCUGUAAACGAUGAAUGUUAAAUAUGGGAAGUUUUACUUUCUGUAUUACAGCUAGCGCGUUAAACAUUCCGCCUGGGGACUACGGUCGCAAGAU